Molecule: long non-coding RNA, 895 nt
Organism: Solea senegalensis (Senegalese sole)
Lineage: Eukaryota; Metazoa; Chordata; Actinopteri; Pleuronectiformes; Soleidae
Exons: 3
Source: RefSeq, a predicted model, not a curated record
UUCUAAGCAGUGAUUCCACAUCAAGUCAGUCUAUAGGAGGAAAGUUAGUCGUGUCAGGUGACUGGCUCACAGCAGUCUCUCUGCUAUGAUUCAUAUCAGCACCAAAUUGGAUUGCGCAAAGCUCUGGGUGCCCAGGCUCACAAUGUCCUGCAAUGCAUCAUGGGCCACUGGGCUGUGUGCUAGGGAGAGGAUGUCUGGAGGUAAAGCUUUGGCUGGCAGGUGGCUUCUCUCAUCAGCCAACCAGAAACAAAAAGCUGACUUUAAACCCUUGGAGACACAAGAGCUUUACUUCUGCGACGCUCUCUUCACAGCAUUUCAUGAACGUUACGGGGGAAUCAGGAGCAGCACAGAUGUUUGAUGAUGUCUUGUCAUGGUCUGACACCGUGUGAAUUAUUCUGGUACUGCGGCAUCAUCAUCACCAUCGCCACCACCACCACCUCCUGCGGUUUCACAGCAGACGGCAGCCAGGUCACAGCGCCACCUCCUGGUGGGUGGAAAUGUGACAUAAGGCAUCAACUCUACGAAUGAAAUGACUCACUGGAAAGUAUGGUUGUUGUUUUUUUCUUUUUUUCUUUUAAAUGCUGCUUCACUAGAAACUUUUUAUCCCACUUUAUCUGAAUGGCAGUAAACUCCACCCACCUGGCUGCUCCAAAGUGGGGUUAAAACAAACACAUUGACGGUGACUAAUAAAGACUUCCUUGGAACCCCGAGCCAUCAGUGAAUCUGGACAACGUCGACUGGAGGAAACCCAAACUCAGCAGCUUUGAUUUGUGCGUAAUUCGUGACUGGGAAAUUCCAACUAAAUCUUUUUUUUAAUGUGGGUUGUUAUUUUACAGGAAUCCACAAAAAAAAAAACACGUUAUUUUGAUACUGGUUGAUAAAGCAUGAGGCCUUU